CGGUGCGUGGCUCAGUUUGGUAGAGCACGGCGUUCGGGACGCCGGGGUCGCAGGUUCAAAUCCUGUCGCACCGA
RNAcentral lists this transfer RNA (74 nucleotides) under Eubacterium sp. Its description in RNAcentral is "tRNA-Pro". It matches the Rfam family "tRNA". From Rfam's summary of the family: Transfer RNA (tRNA) molecules are approximately 80 nucleotides in length. The record is from RNAcentral. Lineage: Bacteria; Bacillati; Bacillota; Clostridia; Eubacteriales; Eubacteriaceae.